Molecule: small RNA, 847 nt
Filed under: Histoplasma ohiense
Lineage: Eukaryota; Fungi; Ascomycota; Eurotiomycetes; Onygenales; Ajellomycetaceae
Description: hypothetical lncRNA
Source: RNAcentral
UGAGAAGCCAGACCCGGGUGUGUUGUCACUGCCAGGCCAAUCCACGGGUGGUAGGGUUUGUAGCGCUGCGAUAGCAGUGGCAAGCAAGGGCAAUAGUAGACGCAUCAUUGCUUCUGCGCAAGGAGAAAAGCCUAAGUGAUGGGGCAGCUGUUGCUUGCAUUUGCAUCGAGUAGCACAGGCAUUGUUGGCCUUUUAUAGGAAAGGCUGUUUGAAAAUAGUGAAGGACCCAUAGCUUCGGCAUUCAGUAAGUGGAUUGUGACACAGCGAAGCAAGCUGUGCGACAAAAAAAUGUCGUAUGCAGCUAAGGUGCUAGCAGAGCUCCACCAGGCGUGGGGGUGCUCCCGUUAUCCGGGGUAAGGCCCAGAUAGGUAACAUCCAGGUCACACCGACAGGAACACCGAUCUGCAAGUCUGAUGAAACUCUUAGACGGUGGUCUGUCUUUGCAUGUAACUCAUGGACCUUUCGUCCAAUGAUUGAAAUUCUCCGCCUUCUUCUACCCCGCAGAGGUUCUGGAAAACAACCCCCACGUCAGGGGAUGUGGAGAAUCCAGGCAAAAACUACCUGGACUUGAAACAAGUUGAAAGACAAUUGUAGUCUUGGGGGCUCGUGGGGGUUAUACGGGCAAUGGAAUUCAACAGGAAAUUUUAUCUCCCCACAUAUGUUCAAAAUGACGAUGUUCAUGAUGAGAACUUACAUGUCAACAAAGUUGGGGUCGAGACGCAUUCCUAUGGGGAUUUACCACUGCAUCAAAGGGGCCAAUAUUUCAAGUAAGGUAACCAUUUUAAGAUAUGGUAUAUAAGAGACUGGUAUAUAAGUUUUUCAUCCAUCUGACAAUUACUCACCGGAG